RNAcentral lists this ribosomal RNA (422 nucleotides) under uncultured bacterium. Its description in RNAcentral is "bacterial SSU rRNA". It matches the Rfam family "Bacterial small subunit ribosomal RNA", at positions 355 to 774 of the family's 1533-position model. The record is from RNAcentral.
UGAGGAAUAUUGGUCAAUGGGGGCAACCCUGAACCAGCCAAGUCGCGUGAAGGAUGAAGGUCUUAUGGAUUGUAAACUUCUUUUAUACAGGAAUAAAUUGGGGGACGUGUCCCCUUUUGCAUGUACUGUAUGAAUAAGGAUCGGCUAACUCCGUGCCAGCAGCCGCGGUAAUACGGAGGAUCCGAGCGUUAUCCGGAUUUAUUGGGUUUAAAGGGUGCGCAGGCGGGAUGUUAAGUCGGCGGUGAAAUUUUGCAGCUCAACUGUAAAAGUGCCUUCGAUACUGGCCUCCUUGAGUGUGGAUGAAGUAGGCGGAAUUUGUGGUGUAGCGGUGAAAUGCUUAGAUAUUACUUAGAACACCAAUUGCGAAGGCAGGUUACCAAGAUAUAACUGACGCUGAGGGACGAAAGCGUGGGGAGCGAACA